AGCGAACGUUUGCGGCGGGCUUAACACAUGCAAGUCGAACGGGCUGGUUCCUUCGGGGGCGAGUCAGUGGCGGCACGGGUGGCGUAACACGUAGGUAAUCAACCCUCUGGUUGGGGAGUAACACUUCGAAAGGAGUGCUAAUACCCGGUAUGGCGCAGCGGUCUUCGGAGUCGCGGCGAGAAAGACCCGCAAGGGUUGCCAGAGGACGAGCCUGCGGCCCAUCAGCUAGUUGGCGAGGUAACGGCUCACCAAGGCGAAGACGGGUAGCUGGUCUGAGAGGAUGAUCAGCCACACUGGAACUGAGACACGGUCCAGACUCCUACGGGAGGCAGCAGUGGGGGAAUAUUGCGCAAUGGGCGAAAGCCUGACGCAGCCACGCGCGUGAGCGAUGAA
Molecule: ribosomal RNA, 393 nt
Filed under: uncultured bacterium
Lineage: Bacteria
Description: bacterial SSU rRNA
Rfam family: Bacterial small subunit ribosomal RNA
Source: RNAcentral